GGCUACGAGGACGAACGCUGGCGGUGUGCUUCACACAUGCAAGUCGAACGAGGUAGCAAUACCUAGUGGCGGACGGGUGAGUAACGCGUGGGAAUCUGCCUUUAGAUGGGGGAUAACGGGUCGAAAGACUCGCUAAUACCGCAUAUGACGAAAGUUGAAAGGAGUAAUCCGUCUAAAGAUGAGCCCGCGUCCGAUUAGCUAGUUGGUAGAGUAAAAGCCUACCAAGGCGACGAUCGGUAGCUGGUCUGAGAGGAUGAUCAGCCACAAUGGGACUGAGACACGGCCCAUACUCCUACGGGAGGCAGCAGUGGGAAUUUUACGCAAUGGGCGAAAGCCUGACGUAGCGACACCGCGUGAGCGAAGAAGCCCCUUGGGGUGUAAAGCUCUGUCAGCUGGAACGAAAAAAAUGACGGUACCAGCAGAGGAAGCAUCGGCUAACUACGUG
RNAcentral lists this ribosomal RNA (445 nucleotides) under uncultured bacterium. Its description in RNAcentral is "bacterial SSU rRNA". It matches the Rfam family "Bacterial small subunit ribosomal RNA", at positions 26 to 507 of the family's 1533-position model. The record is from RNAcentral.